RNAcentral lists this ribosomal RNA (332 nucleotides) under Klebsiella quasipneumoniae subsp. similipneumoniae. RNAcentral's name for it is "partial 23S ribosomal RNA". It matches the Rfam family "Bacterial large subunit ribosomal RNA", at positions 1281 to 1616 of the family's 2925-position model. Lineage: Bacteria; Pseudomonadati; Pseudomonadota; Gammaproteobacteria; Enterobacterales; Enterobacteriaceae. The record is from RNAcentral. RNAcentral also lists the same sequence under 1 other name.
AUCAGAAGUGCGAAUGCUGACAUAAGUAACGAUAAAGCGGGUGAAAAGCCCGCUCGCCGGAAGACCAAGGGUUCCUGUCCAACGUUAAUCGGGGCAGGGUGAGUCGACCCCUAAGGCGAGGCCGAAAGGCGUAGUCGAUGGGAAACAGGUUAAUAUUCCUGUACUUGGUGUUACUGCGAAGGGGGGACGGAGAAGGCUAUGUUAGCCGGGCGACGGUUGUCCCGGUUUAAGCAUGUAGGCUGGUUAUCCAGGCAAAUCCGGAUAAUCAAGGCUGAGGUGUGAUGACGAGGCACUACGGUGCUGAAGUAACAAAUGCCCUGCUUCCAGGAAAA